CCUACGGGUGGCAGCAGUGAGGAAUAUUGGUCAAUGGGCGCAAGCCUGAACCAGCCAAGCCGCGUGAGGGAUGACGGUCCUAUGGAUUGUAAACCUCUUUUGGCGGGGAGCAAGGCCCGCCACGUGUGGCGGGAAGGAGAGUACCCGAAGAAAAAGCAUCGGCUAACUCCGUGCCAGCAGCCGCGGUAAUACGGAGGAUGCGAGCGUUAUCCGGAAUCAUUGGGCGUAAAGAGGGAGAAGGCGGGCUGGAGGGUCUAUUGUGAAAAGGCGAUGGCUAAACCAUUGUUAGGCGAAGAAACCGGCAGGCUAGAGUUCUAGAGAGGAUAGUGGAAUUCCAUGUGUAGCGGUGAAAUGCGUAGAUAUAUGGAGGAACACCAGUGGCGAAGGCGACGAUCUGGGAAGAAACAGACGCUGAGUCGCGAAAGCGUGGGGAGCAAAUAGGAUUAGAUACCCCGGUAGUC
Molecule: ribosomal RNA, 461 nt
Filed under: uncultured bacterium
Lineage: Bacteria
Description: partial 16S ribosomal RNA
Rfam family: Bacterial small subunit ribosomal RNA
Source: RNAcentral